Long non-coding RNA from Camellia sinensis, 447 nucleotides. RefSeq lists it as uncharacterized. The record is from RefSeq and is a predicted model, not a curated record. Lineage: Eukaryota; Viridiplantae; Streptophyta; Magnoliopsida; Ericales; Theaceae.
UCUCACCCUCUCUCAUCUCUCUUUCUCUCAUUCCAUAGAGAGCUGUCCGCCACCAUCGCAAGGAGCACCCAUCUCUGACCAGCCACCGUCGCACACGAGCACCCAUCUCCGACCAACGACAAUACCACAUCACACACCGUGGACAGUUGCGUUUGAAUUUGUAAAUAGAAUGAGAAGAUGAAGGGGAGCUAAAAGGAAUCAUUCACUGAUCACCGCCAUCGCGACGCCGCUGACCAACUCUCAUCUUGCCGUCAUCUUCUCUCGACGAAACCACCGAUCACCUUUCAUUUCCUCUCACCCUCCUCUUGCAAGGUGUGGCCUCCACUUGGAUUGAAGAAGUUCAAGACCCUGUCUUACCUUCCUCCACUCUCUCUUAUACAAUUGGGAAAAGAAGUUGAUUACCUUAUUCGCCUGGCAUGGAUUCCUUGCUUAGAAUUCUCUGUUGAG